GUAUAGUAUCCCGCAAGGGAAGUGAACCCGGUGAACUGAAACAUCUAAGUAGCCGGAGGAAGAGAAAACAAAAGUGAUUCCGGGAGUAGUGGCGAGCGAAACCGGAUUAGCCCAAACCAGUGUUGUUUCGGCAAUACUGGGGUUGUAGGACCACGACAUUGAUUGCGUAAUGAAUUAGAACACUUUGGAAAGAGUGACCGAAGAGGGUGAUAGUCCCGUACAAGUAAAGAGCGUUAAUUAUAGUGGUAUCCUGAGUAGUGCGGGGCACGUGAAACCCUGUAUGAAUCAAGCGGGACCAUCCGUUAAGGCUAAAUACUCCUGAGAGACCGAUAGUGAACCAGUACCGUGAGGGAAAGGUGAAAAGAACCCUGAAUAAGGGAGUGAAAAAGAUCCUGAAACCAUACGCUUACAAGCGGCCGGAGCCCGUAAGGGGUGACGGCGUGCCUUUUGCAUAAUGAGCCUACGAGUUACUUUUACUAGCAAGGUUAAGCACUUCAGGUGCGGAUCCGUAGCGAAAGCGAGUCUGAAUAGGGCGACCAUAGUUAGUAGUAGUAGACGCGAAACCGUGUGAUCUACCCAUGGGCAGGUUGAAGCUUUGUUAACCC
RNAcentral lists this ribosomal RNA (605 nucleotides) under uncultured bacterium. RNAcentral's name for it is "bacterial LSU rRNA". It matches the Rfam family "Bacterial large subunit ribosomal RNA", at positions 143 to 762 of the family's 2925-position model. The record is from RNAcentral.